GUAAAAGGAUGUAGAUUUAGAAACAUUGUGUACUAUAGUCAAGUCGUGUUUCAUCCACAUAAAUGUAAUGUAUUCUGGAGAGUAUUUUAGAUGAAGCUGCUUCAGUGUGGCCAAUUUUGAUUAGAAGGUUGAAUCAUUUUCCUUUUCCAUUAUUUAAUAAGCACUCAAUGAAAUGAUGUCGUGAGAGAAAUGAAAAUAAGUCUUCUUGAGUCUCUAUCUCACCAAUAACAUUUUCAAAUCGUAAUAUGCAGCGUAUUAGUUAACGCUGAGCAAAAGAAAAGACAGAAAAUAAGCUAGCUAGCAAGUGCGGGUAUUGUGCGCUGCCAACCAUAGUCAUUUGUUCAUUCGAAAGGAGGAUAUGCAAGAUUUUGUGACUUUUUGAACCAGCUUGUUUUUGUCAGUAGCUGACUGUCUUUGUUAAUAUAUUUAUUUAUACCACCAUAUUUCUUUACAUUGUAUAGAUGCUCUUUUGAUACCCCAUCUUUACAAUCAUAAGUUAGCAUUAAGCUAACCGACUUCAAAGCAAAACUAUGCGAUUGUUUUAAAUACAAAAUGUGUAAUUAUUUUUGUUUUAUGUUUAUUUUGACAGUAAACUUCAACAGGGAUGGUGAUUAAACAGUUUAAAGCCUCUUUUUGGAAUACCAUCCCGAUUUAAUAACUUUUAAUAUAGAUGUCAUCACAGCAGGUUUAAAUCACUCAGAUGAGGUUUGCACAUCAUCAGAAAGGGACACAAAAAAACACAGUAUCAUGGUAUCAUGUCUAUUUUCCCGACUUGCCUUGUGAAAAGCCCUAAAUGAUUGAUGAACAAUCUACAUUUUUGAGGCACAAUUAAUGAUGAGGGGAAUCGUGGGCAGAUGGAUUUUCAAAGCCUCACUCAUUUGGGGCAAACAAUAGCGGGAAGCUCUGCAACCAGCUUCUGCAUUGAGCCAGUGUGCUCAAAAAAGUCAAUAUACCCUCUCUUGCCCACUGAUCCAAUUCACCAGCGCUCAGGUCGUGCAUUCGUUAGGCAACGGUGUGCAAACUGAGUUAAACACAUGGUUGGGAUGGAUCUGUAAUUAGCACACAGAACACGUUAUUGAUGAAACAAUUUGUUCUUGCACUGAAUGAGCGGUGACUUUGAAUUCCCUGCGUCCUUUGUGAUAAGAGCGCAAUCAAUAAUGACUCCCCUAUCACCACAAGGCUAAGUCAAGGCGAGUAUCACCCAAAUAAACAGUUACCAACACAAGACAAUUUUCAUAGAGGAGAAAUAAUAUAUGCCUGUGAGGAUUGUUAUAUUAUCAGUCUGCAUGUGUAGCUGCUUGUGUUGCUAUCUAUGCCAUUUUGUAUCUGUGCAUUAAGCUAGCAAGUUUUUAUAAGGCAAAGUUACAAAUUAAAUGGACAAUGUGUAAAAAAAAUUGUAUUGAAAUAAAAAAAAAAACAUGAAAUGAA
Molecule: long non-coding RNA, 1428 nt
Organism: Syngnathus acus (greater pipefish)
Lineage: Eukaryota; Metazoa; Chordata; Actinopteri; Syngnathiformes; Syngnathidae
Exons: 2
Source: RefSeq, a predicted model, not a curated record